Molecule: ribosomal RNA, 458 nt
Filed under: Lachnospiraceae bacterium canine oral taxon 073
Lineage: Bacteria; Bacillati; Bacillota; Clostridia; Lachnospirales; Lachnospiraceae
Description: bacterial SSU rRNA
Rfam family: Bacterial small subunit ribosomal RNA
Source: RNAcentral
GAGUUUGAUUCUGGCUCAGGAUGAACGCUGGCGGCAUGCCUAACACAUGCAAGUUGAACGAGAAGUUCUGGAGGGAGUCUUCGGACGAACGAAGGAAUGGAAAGUAGCGAACGGGUGAGUAACGCGUGGGCAACCAACCUUACACAGGGGGAUAACGCAGAGAAAUUUGCGCUAAUACCGCAUAAGCGCACAGUACCGCAUGGUACGGUGUGAAAAACUCCGGUGGUGUAAGACGGGCCCGCGUCUGAUUAGUUAGUUGGUGAGGUAAAAGCUCGCCAAGGCGACGAUCAGUAGCCGACCUGAGAGGGUGAUCGGCCACAUUGGGACUGAGACACGGCCCAAACUCCUACGGGAGGCAGCAGUGGGGGAUAUUGCACAAUGGAGGGAACUCUGAUGCAGCAAUGCCGCGUGAAGGAAGACGGUUUUCGGAUUGUAAACUUCUAUCAGCAGGGAAGAAA